AACGACCGUACCAUGCUGAAUAUACCGGUUCUCGUUAGAUCACCGAAGUUAAGCAUCACUGGGCGCGGUCAGUACUUGGGUGAGUGACC
RNAcentral lists this ribosomal RNA (89 nucleotides) under Caerostris darwini. The record is from RNAcentral. Lineage: Eukaryota; Metazoa; Arthropoda; Arachnida; Araneae; Araneidae.